CAAACAAAUAAAUGUGCUAAAAUGUCCUGUUUAUGACAUACAGACAGAAAAGUCAUCCAAAACCUCUUAAAGCAAACAUUUAGUUCAUCAAAUUGAUGGAAAAUACUGUAUAAUAAUAAUAAUAAUACUGUUUUUUCCAUGAACCAUUAGAACAAACCCUCUGAGCGCUGAGGUCAGCAUCUACACCUCCGACCACCGGGUUCGGGCUCACGGCGUGCGGACAGGAGGCCACAUGACGACAUGGCGUCUCUAAACAAGACAAACCGGAGACGUCCGGUUCUAGCGUGAUCGCCAUGUUCUUCAUGCACCAAGCCGGGCAGCGCGAGAAGCUUCUGCAAAGCGCUCUGCAGCCAACGAGCGAAAAACACACACAGGGAAGCUGCCUGGAGACGGAGACACGUUUGGAUGUCGGUCAGGAUCAAUACAACGCUGUUUGUAGACCAGAAAAACAUUUACAACGCGUUUUAAUUAUGCUUUAAUAACAUUCUAAAGAGUGCAAAGUACUGACUCCCAACCCCCUCAUCGGGUCACGUAUCGUAUCGCCGGCUUCACGGCAUAUUUUUCUGUUAACAUCUCGAAUAUGUCAUUCCACGAUUUCUGUUUUUAUCAUAUUUGAGAUUUACAAUUCUCUAAAGCUGCCAUAUCGCACAUAUAUGGUGUCUACCAAAAGUUUUUUAGAUGUGAAUGAUUUUAAUCACUGGCUUGAAUUUAAAUACCAAACUGCUGCUUCUUCUUAAGAUAAUUGUGAACAGGUGAACAAUCUCGUCUGUGAUGAAACCCAACGAAGAAAAAACGGUGAAAAAGGCCUGAAGAGUCAAACCGCUUUGACUCGUUUUUAGGAUCUGAGUCAUCGGCAGGUCCCUGUGCUCAAACGUGGGGCCCGGGGCCCCCCCCCGACAUGCACAGCGUCCCGGGACACAUGGACAGCCAGCCAGGAAGCGCGGACCACCUGUCCCCCCGACCCCCCCGGACACAUUACCUCGCUGCUGUCUGCUGCACGCUGUGCACGCAUUUAGUGUGAUGGUACGCAUAAUCGGUUUUGACCUGGCUCUUCUUAGACCGAACUGUGACUUUGGAAGCCAUGACGGGAACACUCUCAGGACAGCUGGCCAGUUGGGGGGAGGGGACCAAAGGGAUUAAAAGAGCGCAAAGCGGUGGAAGACCAGCCUGAUGCCGCCUGGGAAGCUCUACACAAAUAUUACCCUCUCACAGGGGGAACGCUGCUCCCCUUCCACCCCAUGUAUGGGCGCACUUAAG
Molecule: long non-coding RNA, 1257 nt
Organism: Gasterosteus aculeatus aculeatus (three-spined stickleback)
Lineage: Eukaryota; Metazoa; Chordata; Actinopteri; Perciformes; Gasterosteidae
Source: Ensembl